Molecule: ribosomal RNA, 468 nt
Filed under: uncultured bacterium
Lineage: Bacteria
Description: partial 16S ribosomal RNA
Rfam family: Bacterial small subunit ribosomal RNA
Source: RNAcentral
GACGAACGCUGGCGGCGUGCUUAACACAUGCAAGUCGAACGGAAAGGCCCUGCUUUUGUGGGGGGCUCGAGUGGCGAACGGGUGAGUAACACGUGAGUAACCUGCCCUUGACUUUGGGAUAACUCCUGGAACCUGGGGGUAAUACCGGGUAGGAGCUCCUGCUGCAUGGUGGGGGUUGGAAAGUUUCGGCGGGUGGGGAUGGACGGGGGGGGUUUCAGCUCGUGGGUGGGGUAGUGGCUUACCAAGGCCUUGACGGGUAGCCGGGCUGGGAUGGGGGCCGGACAAACCGGGACGGGACUGAGGCCCAGCCUCCUACGGGAGGCAGCGGUGGGGAAUAGUGUACAAUGGGAUGGAGGCUGACGCAGCAACGCAGUGUGGGGGAUGAGAGCAUUGGGGUUGGAUUGCGCUUCCGUUUGUGACGAGGCGUGAGUGACGGUAAUGGGAAAAGAAGCACCGGCUAACUACGUG